GCGGACAGAUGGGAGCUUGCUCCCUGAUGUUAGCGGCCCAUUUGUGAGUAACACGUGGGUAACCUGCCUGUAAGACUGGGAUCACUCCGGGAAACCGGGGCUAAUACCGGAUGGUUGUCUGAACCGCAUGGUUCAGACAUAAAAGGUGGCUUCGGCUACCACUUACAGAUGGACCCGCGGCGCAUUAGCUAGUUGGUGAGGUAACGGCUCACCAAGGCAACGAUGCGUAGCCGACCUGAGAGGGUGAUCGGCCACACUGGGACUGAGACACGGCCCAGACUCCUACGGGAGGCAGCAGUAGGGAAUCUUCCGCAAUGGACGAAAGUCUGACGGAGCAACGCCGCGUGAGUGAUGAAGGUUUUCGGAUCGUAAAGCUCUGUUGUUAGGGAAGAACAAGUGCCGUUCAAAUAGGGCGGCACCUUGACGGUACCUAACCAGAAAGCCACGGCUAACUACGUGCCAGCAGCCGCGGUAAUACGUAGGUGGCAAGCGUUGUCCGGAAUUAUUGGGCGUAAAGGGCUCGCAGGCGGUUUCUUAAGUCUGAUGUGAAAGCCCCCGGCUCAACCGGGGAGGGUCAUUGGAAACUGGGGAACUUGAGUGCAGAAGAGGAGAGUGGAAUUCCACGUGUAGCGGUGAAAUGCGUAGAGAUGUGGAGGAACACCAGUGGCGAAGGCGACUCUCUGGUCUGUAACUGACGCUGAGGAGCGAAAGCGUGGGGAGCGAACAGGAUUAGAUACCCUGGUAGUCCACGCCGUAAACGAUGAGUGCUAAGUGUUAGGGGGUUUCCG
RNAcentral lists this ribosomal RNA (788 nucleotides) under Bacillus anthracis (anthrax bacterium). RNAcentral describes it as "bacterial SSU rRNA". It matches the Rfam family "Bacterial small subunit ribosomal RNA", at positions 66 to 836 of the family's 1533-position model. Lineage: Bacteria; Bacillati; Bacillota; Bacilli; Caryophanales; Bacillaceae. The record is from RNAcentral.